Molecule: ribosomal RNA, 848 nt
Filed under: Vannella arabica
Lineage: Eukaryota; Discosea; Flabellinia; Vannellidae
Description: bacterial SSU rRNA
Rfam family: Eukaryotic small subunit ribosomal RNA
Source: RNAcentral
GAUUAGAUACCGUCGUAGUCUUAACUAUAAACUAUGCCGACCAGGGAUAUGAGUUGUUAUGAAUGGAUUUUAUCUAUUCAAUUUCCUCUUGUGGACCUUGUGAGAAAUCAUAAGUUUUUGGGUUCUGGGGGGAGUAUGGUCGCAAGGCUGAAACUUAAAGGAAUUGACGGAGGGGCACCACCAGGAGUGGAGCGUGCGGCUUAAUUUGACUCAACACGGGAAAACUUACCAGGUCCAGACAUUAGAAGGAUUGACAGAUUGAUAGCUCUUUCAUGAUUUAAUGGGUGGUGGUGCAUGGCCGUUCUUAGUUGGUGGAGUGAUUUGUCUGGUUAAUUCCGAUAACGAACGAGACCUUUACCAUACUAAAUAGUUUGAUUUAUUCAUUUAUGAAUAGAUUUACAUUUUAUAAACUUCUUAGAGGGACUAUUGGUUCUUAAACCAAAGGAAGUAAAGGCGAUAACAGGUCUGUGAUGCCCUUAGAUGUUCUGGGCUGCACGCGCGCUACAAUGAUAAACUCAACGAGUAUUUAAUAUUCAUUUAUUAUAUUGCUGUAUCGGAAGGUAUGGCUAAUCUUAAACGUUUAUCGUGCUUGGGAUAGAUGAUUGCAAUUAUUUAUCUUGAACCAGGAAUUCCUAGUAAUCGUAUAUCAUCAGUGUGCGAUGAUUACGUCCCUGCCCCUUGUACACACCGCCCGUCGCUGCUACCGAUUGGAUGAUCCGGUGAAAUCCUCGGAUAAUGAUAAAUACUUUACUUUGUAAAGUUUAUCGUUAGAAGUUGAUUAAACCUUAUCAUCUAGAGGAAGCAAAAGUCGUAACAAGGUUUCCGUAGGUGAACCUGCAGAAGGAUCA